GAUGAACGCUGGCGGCGUGCUUAACACAUGCAAGUCGAACGGGAUCCUGCAAGCUUGCUUGCGGGUGAGAGUGGCGAACGGGUGAGUAAUGCGUGACCAACCUGCCCCAUGCUCCGGAAUAGCUCCUGGAAACGGGUGGUAAUGCCGGAUGUUCCCGCGCCCCGCAUGGGGUGCGGGGAAAGCUUUUGCGGCGGGGGAUGGGGUCGCGUCCUAUCAGCUUGUUGGCGGGGUGAGGGCCCACCAAGGCUUCGACGGGUAGCCGGCCUGAGAGGGCGACCGGCCACAUUGGGACUGAGAUACGGCCCAGACUCCUACGGGAGGCAGCAGUGGGGAAUAUUGCACAAUGGGCGCAAGCCUGAUGCAGCGACGCCGCGUGCGGGAUGGAGGCCUUCGGGUUGUAAACCGCUUUUGUUUGGGAGCAAGCCCUUCGGGGUGAGUGUACCUUUCGAAUAAGCACCGGCUAACUACGUGCCAGCAGCCGCCGUAA
Molecule: ribosomal RNA, 487 nt
Filed under: uncultured bacterium
Lineage: Bacteria
Description: partial 16S ribosomal RNA
Rfam family: Bacterial small subunit ribosomal RNA
Source: RNAcentral